UUACAAGCUACUAAGGGCACAUGGUGGAUGCCUUGGCAUCGAGAGCCGAUGAAGGACGUAGGAGUCUGCGAUAAGCCCUGGGGAGCUGACAACCGAGCUGUGAUCCAGGGGUGUCCGAAUGGGGAAACCCGGCCAGAGUUAUGUCUGGUCACCGGCGCCUGAACACAUAGGGCGUUCGGAGGGAACGUGGGGAAGUGAAACAUCUCAGUACCCACAGGAAGAGAAAACAACAGUGAUUCCGUGAGUAGUGGCGAGCGAAAGCGGAUGAGGCUAAACCGUGCAGAUGUUAAAGACGGCGGUCGUUGUCUGUGCGGGGUCGUGGGAACGUGCUUGCUGGUUCUGCCGGACUAGCGGGAAGUGAUAAAGCUCAGUUGAAGUCGAAGGGCCUGGAAUGGUCCGGCGUAGAGGGUGAGACCCCUGUAGACGUAAACCUGAGCCUUCCUUGUGCGUAUCCCGAGUAACGCGUGACUCCUGGAAUUGCGCGUGAAUUUGGCGGGACCACCCGUUAAGCCUAAAUACUCCUCGAUGACCGAUAGCGGACUAGUACCGUGAGGGAAAGGUGAAAAGUACCCCGGGAGGGGAGUGAAAUAGUACCUGAAACCAUGUGCCUACAAUCCGUCGGAGCCUUGACUUCGGUCGUGGUGACGGCGUGCCUUUUGAAGAAUGAGCCUGCGAGUUAGUGGUACGUGGCGAGGUUAACCCGUUGUGGGGUAGCCGUAGCGAAAGCGAGUCCGAAUAGGGCGUUUGAGUCGCGUGCUCUAGACCCGAAGCGGAGUGAUCUAUCCAUGGGCAGGUUGAAGCGCGGGUAAGACCGCGUGGAGGACCGAACCCACUUAGGUUAAAAACUGAGGGGAUGACCUGUGGAUAGGGGUGAAAGGCCAAUCAAACUCCGUGAUAGCUGGUUCUCCCCGAAAUGCAUUUAGGUGCAGCGUCGUUUGUUUCUUGCCGGAGGUAGAGCACUGGAUGGUCUAGGGGGCCUACAAGCUUACCGAAAUCAACCAAACUCCGAAUGCCGGCAAGUGAGAGAGCGGCAGUGAGACUGCGGGGGAUAAGCUCCGUAGUCGAGAGGGAAACAGCCCAGACCAUCAGCUAAGGCCCCUAAGCGAUUGCUAAGUGGAAAAGGAUGUGGAGUCGCACAGACAACCAGGAGGUUGGCUUAGAAGCAGCCACCCUUGAAAGAGUGCGUAAUAGCUCACUGGUCAAGUGAUUCUGCGCCGACAAUUUAGCGGGGCUCAAGCAAUCCGCCGAAGCUAUGGCAUUCAUACGUGUACUCGGCUCGUCUCCUUCGGGUGGCGGGUCCAGGUGUGUGGAUGGGUAGGGGAGCGUCGUGUGGCGUGUGAAGCGGCGGGGUGACCCAGCCGUGGAUGCCACACGAGUGAGAAUGCAGGCAUGAGUAGCGAAUGAAGAGUGAGAAACUCUUCCGCCGAAUGACCAAGGGUUCCAGGGUCAAGCUAAUCUGCCCUGGGUAAGUCGGGACCUAAGGCGAGGCCGACAGGCGUAGUCGAUGGACAACGGGUUGAUAUUCCCGUACCGGCGUUGGUGCGCCCAUGCUGAAUCAGUAAUGCUAAGCACCCGAGCCGAGCGUGACUGCCCUUCGGGGUGGCGUGUCUUGGUAAGCGUGUGACCCGAGCUGGUAGUAGGCAAGUGAUGGGGUGACGCAGGAAGGUAGCUCAUCGCGGCGAUGGUUGUCCGCGUGUAAGGAUGUAGGACGAGGGAUAGGCAAAUCCGUUCCUCAUGUGUCUGAGAUCUGAUGCCGAGCCGUUUCAGGCGAAGUGAGUGAUCCUAUGCUGUCGAGAAAAGCCUCUAGCGAGUACCAGAGCCGCCCGUACCCCAAACCGACACAGGUGGUCAGGUAGAGAAUACCAAGGCGAUCGAGUGAAUCGUGGUUAAGGAACUCGGCAAAAUGCCCCCGUAACUUCGGGAGAAGGGGGGCCCGACUCGUGAACACCCUUGCGGUGGGAGCGAUGACGGCCGCAGAGACCAGGCCCAAGCGACUGUUUACUAAAAACACAGGUCCGUGCGAAGAAGUAAUUCGAUGUAUACGGACUGACUCCUGCCCGGUGCUGGAAGGUUAAGGGGACGUGUUAGCACUUCGGUGCGAAGCGCUGAACUUAAGCCCCAGUAAACGGCGGUGGUAACUAUAACCAUCCUAAGGUAGCGAAAUUCCUUGUCGGGUAAGUUCCGACCUGCACGAAUGGAGUAACGACUUGGGCGCUGUCUCAACCACGAGCUCGGCGAAAUUGCACUACGAGUAAAGAUGCUCGUUACGCGCGGCAGGACGGAAAGACCCCGGGACCUUCACUACAGCUUGGUAUUGGUGUUUGGUUCGACUUGUGUAGGAUAGGUGGGAGACUGUGAAGCAGCCACGCCAGUGGUUGUGGAGUCAUCGUUGAAAUACCACUCUGGUCGUACUAGAUAUCUAACUUAGGUCCGUGAUCCGGAUCAGGGACAGUGCCUGGUGGGUAGUUUAACUGGGGCGGUUGCCUCCUAAAAUGUAACGGAGGCGCCCAAAGGUUCCCUCAGCCUGGUUGGCAAUCAGGUGUUGAGUGUAAGUGCACAAGGGAGCUUGACUGUGACACCGACGGGUGGAGCAGGGACGAAAGUCGGGACUAGUGACCCGGCGCUGGCAUGUGGAAGCGGCGUCGCUCAACGGAUAAAAGGUACCCCGGGGAUAACAGGCUGAUCUUCCCCAAGAGUCCAUAUCGACGGGAUGGUUUGGCACCUCGAUGUCGGCUCGUCGCAUCCUGGGGCUGGAGCAGGUCCCAAGGGUUGGGCUGUUCGCCCAUUAAAGCGGCACGCGAGCUGGGUUUAGAACGUCGUGAGACAGUUCGGUCCCUAUCCGCCGCGCGCGUAGGAAACUUGAGAAAGGCUGUCCCUAGUACGAGAGGACCGGGAUGGACGAACCUCUGGUGUGUCAGUUGUUCUGCCAAGAGCACUGCUGAUUAGCUACGUUCGGGAGUGAUAACCGCUGAAAGCAUCUAAGCGGGAAGCACGUUUCAAGAUGAGGUUUCCCACCCCUUGUGGGUUAAGGCCCCCAGUAGACCACUGGGUUGAUAGGCCGGAAGUGGAAGCGCAGCAAUGCGUGUAGCUGACCGGUACUAAUAGGCCGAGGGCUUGUUCUA
This 3122-nucleotide ribosomal RNA is filed under the name Mumia sp. zg.B21. RNAcentral describes it as "23S ribosomal RNA". It matches the Rfam family "Bacterial large subunit ribosomal RNA". Lineage: Bacteria; Bacillati; Actinomycetota; Actinomycetes; Propionibacteriales; Nocardioidaceae. The record is from RNAcentral. RNAcentral also lists the same sequence under 1 other name.